ACGCACAUUGCGGUCCACGGAUCUCGUUCCCGGACCACGCCUGGCUGAGGGUCGUUUAUAAAAACUAACCCGACUGCUCGCUUCGCGCGUGUAAGCGCGCGAGGAGAGAGCGUUUGUCUGGGCGCUCGUCUCGAUCGACACGGAGAGAGACAGAGGGGGGCUCGCUCUCCCUCUGUAGCGCCGAGUCUGUAUCGCGAGACGUCGCCUCAAACGACACGCAAGAUGAAACAAAAGACGAGACCUCUACUCGGUGCUCGUCUAGCCGGCGCGCGCGCGAACGUUCCGAGCGGAGAGAGGAGGGAAACCAAGUGCGGUUGCACCUCCUCCUCUCGCUGUGGCGCGUCGUCUCGUGUCGAGUCCCGGAGCUCCUUGCUUUGUUGCGAGAGCGGACCGACCAUCGAGGACGACGACGUACGACGAUCGCGCAGCCGUCGCCUGCGCUUGUUU
Molecule: ribosomal RNA, 447 nt
Filed under: Trichogramma danausicida
Lineage: Eukaryota; Metazoa; Arthropoda; Insecta; Hymenoptera; Trichogrammatidae
Description: partial 18S ribosomal RNA
Source: RNAcentral